GAUGAACGCUGGCGGCGUGCCUAAUACAUGCAAGUCGAGCGAACAGACGAGGAGCUUGCUCCUCUGACGUUAGCGGCGGACGGGUGAGUAACACGUGGAUAACCUACCUAUAAGACUGGGAUAACUUCGGGAAACCGGAGCUAAUACCGGAUAAUAUAUUGAACCGCAUGGUUCAAUAGUGAGAGACGGUUUUGCUGUCACUUAUAGAUGGAUCCGCGCCGCAUUAGCUAGUUGGUAAGGUAACGGCUUACCAAGGCAACGAUGCGUAGCCGACCUGAGAGGGUGAUCGGCCACACUGGAACUGAGACACGGUCCAGACUCCUAAGGGAGGCAGCAGUAGGGAAUCUUCCGCAAUGGGCGAAAGCUUGACGGAGCAACGCCGCGUGAGUGAUGAAGGUCUUCGGAUCGUAAAACUCUGUUAUUAGGGAAGAACAAAUGUGUAAGUAACUAUGCACGUCUUGACGGUACCUAAUCAGAAAGCCACGGCUAACUACGUG
Molecule: ribosomal RNA, 497 nt
Filed under: uncultured bacterium
Lineage: Bacteria
Description: partial 16S ribosomal RNA
Rfam family: Bacterial small subunit ribosomal RNA
Source: RNAcentral